UCAAGAAACUUCCACAAUGGGCGAAAGCCUGAUGGAGCGACGUCGCGUGAUGGACGAAGUGCUUCGGCACGUAAACAUCUUUUAUGUGGGAUGAAAUUAUUGACAGUACCACAUGAAUAAGGGGCUCCUAACUCUGUGCCAGCAGGAGCGGUAGUACAGAGGCCCCAAGCGUUAUCCGGAAUCACUGGGCGUAAAGGGUGUCGAGGCGGUUGUAUUAGUCGUUCGUAAAAUCUACGAGCUUAACUUGUAGGCGGCGAACGAAACGGUACGACUUGAGGUUUGGAGAGGUGCGUGGAACUCACGGUGUAGGGGUGAAAUCCGUUGAUAUCGUGGGGAACACCAAAGGCGAAGGCAGCGCACUGGCCAAAAUCUGACGCUCACACACGAAAGCUAGGGUAGCGAAGAGGAUUAGAUACCCAAGUAGUCCCUGAGCGGGC
Molecule: ribosomal RNA, 437 nt
Filed under: uncultured bacterium
Lineage: Bacteria
Description: bacterial SSU rRNA
Rfam family: Bacterial small subunit ribosomal RNA
Source: RNAcentral